CAAGAAUCCACUUGGUGGCAGUUCAUUAAUAUUUCAUACUUUCCACUUACAAGGAGAAUUGAUUCAUCCUGAACAGAAUUUAUACAUAACCUGGAUAUCAGGAUAUCUUCUCUGUCUGCAGUGACUUCACAAUGCCUUUUGUCAAUGGCAUUCAGAAUGCCUCAUCUAUCACAAUGGUAACCCACACAUUACCUUGAACGAAGAGACACUUUUAAAGUACAGGAGUGGAUCAGUUAGCUCAAAACUGUAAGAUUACAUCAUAUAUUAUGUACCUCUUCACCCAGAAGCAGCUGGAUUAAUAAAACAUUGGAAGGACCUACUGAAGGCUUACUUCAGCUAAAUCUGCAGCUUGAACAAAUCACUUUGAAAGGAAAUUAUAAGUGACCACAUCUUGAACAUUUAGACUCCAUCAGAGGUCAAAACGAGGCUUGGGACAGAGUUCCAUGACACCUAUUGUUGCAGGAGUCACAGAGGCUUCAGCACUCAGGUCAGAGACCAUGAGGAAACAGAGGCUAUGACUUAGCCAGAUGAUGAAAAUUUCCACUCAAGCAUUGUGAACUGGAGUCCACCUGGUACCACCGUGACCUCUAUCAGAAGUGUCUGAUGCCAAGAUUUAAAGUCUACUCAUCUUUCAAGAUGCAGACCCCACUAUGUUUCCAGAGAAUUUGGAAUGAAAUAUAUUCAAGGUUAUGAGAUAAUCUCUGAAGUGCUGUAAUUUAUGGCAUCGUGGCAGAGCAGCUAAAAUGAACAUUGUACCUGUCAGCAAGUUAAAAUGGAAAAACUUGAGACGUUCUG
This 795-nucleotide long non-coding RNA is filed under the name Equus caballus (horse). Its description in RNAcentral is "lncRNA (ENSECAG00000036298.3)". The record is from RNAcentral. Lineage: Eukaryota; Metazoa; Chordata; Mammalia; Perissodactyla; Equidae.